AGGUAGGUAUGGUGGACUCAUAUGGAACAACUUUGGGUUUAUGGAAGUGGAUGCACAAGCAGUAUUCCCGCCUAGUAAAAGUGAAGGCUAGCAAAAGACUGGGAAGCGACCAACUAGAGAGCGACAACAGUCAUCAAUAUGCAUUGAAAUUAAUCCACAUUGAGUGCAAGCAUGAGUAGGUCAUAAAUCACCAUAAACAUGAAUAU
RNAcentral lists this long non-coding RNA (206 nucleotides) under Hordeum vulgare. Its description in RNAcentral is "long non-coding RNA (HVUL_LNC016152)". Lineage: Eukaryota; Viridiplantae; Streptophyta; Magnoliopsida; Poales; Poaceae. The record is from RNAcentral.